CGACACCCGCGUUCCAAUUACAGGAGGCUGACGUCGAGGCAACGGGAAAAGAGUCGGAGGGUGGGUUUGCAGGCUGGAGAUGUGAAAAAAGGGCUCGAGAUGGAAAUCCUGCGCGUGCUCAUCGAUGCCAAAAAGCGAGCCGAGCGUGGAAGCCAUUCACAAACAAGGCAUUCAGAACGUUCCUUGGGCACGCACAUGGGAUUUCGCGCGUGGUGUAUAGAACCGAAUCACGAGUGCAACCUCGAGGACGAUGAUGACGAUCAGGA
This 266-nucleotide long non-coding RNA is filed under the name Polistes fuscatus (common paper wasp). RNAcentral's name for it is "uncharacterized LOC122520164". The record is from RNAcentral. Lineage: Eukaryota; Metazoa; Arthropoda; Insecta; Hymenoptera; Vespidae.